Molecule: ribosomal RNA, 429 nt
Filed under: Chloroflexota bacterium
Lineage: Bacteria; Bacillati; Chloroflexota
Description: Chloroflexi bacterium partial 16S ribosomal RNA
Rfam family: Bacterial small subunit ribosomal RNA
Source: RNAcentral
UGGGGAAUAUUGCACAAUGGGCGCAAGCCUGAUGCAGCCAUGCCGCGUGUGUGAAGAAGGCCUUCGGGUUGUAAAGCACUUUCAGCGGGGAGGAAGGCGUUAAGGUUAAUAACCUUGGCGAUUGACGUUACCCGCAGAAGAAGCACCGGCUAACUCCGUGCCAGCAGCCGCGGUAAUACGGAGGGUGCAAGCGUUAAUCGGAAUUACUGGGCGUAAAGCGCACGCAGGCGGUUUGUUAAGUCAGAUGUGAAAUCCUCGGGCUCAACCUGGGAACUGCAUCUGAUACUGGCAAGCUUGAGUCUCGUAGAGGGGGGUAGAAUUCCAGGUGUAGCGGUGAAAUGCGUAGAGAUCUGGAGGAAUACCAGUGGCGAAGGCGGCUCUCUGGUCUGUAACUGACGCUGAGGCUCGAAAGCGUGGGGAGCAAACAGG